RNAcentral lists this ribosomal RNA (297 nucleotides) under uncultured bacterium. Its description in RNAcentral is "partial 16S ribosomal RNA". It matches the Rfam family "Bacterial small subunit ribosomal RNA", at positions 335 to 649 of the family's 1533-position model. The record is from RNAcentral.
ACUCCUACGGGAGGCAGCAGUGGGGAAUAUUGCACAAUGGGCGAAAGCCUGAUGCAGCAACGCCGCGUGAGUGAUGAAGGCCUUCGGGUUGUAAAGCUCUGUCUUUGGGGACGAUAAUGACGGUACCCAAGGAGGAAGCCACGGCUAACUACGUGCCAGCAGCCGCGGUAAUACGUAGGUGGCAAGCGUUGUCCGGAUUUACUGGGCGUAAAGGAUGCGUAGGUGGAUAUGCAAGUCAGAUGUGAAAUACCCGGGCUUAACUCGGGUGCUGCAUUUGAAACUAUAUAUCUAGAGUGC